RNAcentral lists this ribosomal RNA (429 nucleotides) under Gemmatimonadota bacterium. Its description in RNAcentral is "Gemmatimonadetes bacterium partial 16S ribosomal RNA". It matches the Rfam family "Bacterial small subunit ribosomal RNA", at positions 355 to 776 of the family's 1533-position model. Lineage: Bacteria; Pseudomonadati; Gemmatimonadota. The record is from RNAcentral.
UAGGGAAUCUUCGGCAAUGGACGAAAGUCUGACCGAGCAACGCCGCGUGAGUGAAGAAGGUUUUCGGAUCGUAAAACUCUGUUGUUAGAGAAGAACAAGGACGUUAGUAACUGAACGUCCCCUGACGGUAUCUAACCAGAAAGCCACGGCUAACUACGUGCCAGCAGCCGCGGUAAUACGAAGGUGGCAAGCGUUUUCCGGAUUUAUUGGGCGUAAAGCGAGCGCAGGCGGUUUCUUAAGUCUGAUGUGAAAGCCCCCGGCUCAACCGGGGAGGGUCAUUGGAAACUGGGAGACUUGAGUGCAGAAGAGGAGAGUGGAAUUCCAUGUGUAGCGGUGAAAUGCGUAGAUAUAUGGAGGAACACCAGUGGCGAAGGCGGCUCUCUGGUCUGUAACUGACGCUGAGGCUCGAAAGCGUGGGGAGCAAACAGG